AUGGGUCCCGGAGAUGCUGCUGAUUCCAUUCCCGAUGGCAUCGGCGGGGAAGCCAUACCAGGCACUGUUAAUGGGCUUGGGCUUGGGCCCAUUGACAUCAUUGGUGGUGAAGCCAUAGGCAUUGGUGGUGGAGUCAUGGUCAUGGGUGGUGGAGUCAUCAUAGGCAUGGGUGGUGGAGUCAUGGACAUGGGUGGUGGAGUCAUCAUAGGCAUGGGUGGUGGAGUCAUCAUAGGCAUAGGUGGUGGAGUCAUCAUAGGCAUAGGUGGUGGAGUCAUCAUAGGCAUGGGUGGUGGAGUCAUAGCCGGAGGGGGGAUCAUGCUUCCACCGCCGCCGCUAGGCAUUGGGGGCAUGGACAUUGAGCCGGAAGGAGCCAUCAUGGGAGCUUGAGCUAAAGAGAAAGGAACUAAAACC
This 411-nucleotide long non-coding RNA is filed under the name Capsella rubella. RNAcentral's name for it is "long non-coding RNA (CRUB_LNC001485)". Lineage: Eukaryota; Viridiplantae; Streptophyta; Magnoliopsida; Brassicales; Brassicaceae. The record is from RNAcentral.